GGGGGGAAGUCCUCCUGCCUGACUACCUUUGAACUGGGACAUGUGCCUUUUUUUUCUGCCUUCAGACUCAAACUAAACGUCAGCUUUUCCCGGCUCUCAAGCCUGCUGGUCCCUGAACUAAAACUCACAUUAUCAACUCUACUGGUUCUUAGGCCUUUGGAGUCAGACUGGAACUACAGCAUUGACUCUUCCGGAACUCCAGCUUACUGACUACAGAUCUUGGAACUUUUCAGCUUCCACAACCAUAAUGAAAGCCAAGCAUAUUCCAUCAUUUCCUAAAACCAAGAUAGAGCACAUAUGGGAACUUGUGAAAUAAGCUUCUUUGGACCUUUUAAGUUGCAUUAUCCCAUAAAAUGUGGUGGAUUCAAUGUUGUAUGGCCUGUAAAACUAAGUAAUGAAGGCUGAUAUGUACCCACCUGGCUCUGUCUUGGGAUCACACAACUUGGGAGCCAAAACAGGUGAGGAUGGGGAGGUGUCAAACAAGACCUAACCUCUCAACAAUCAGCUGGACACUGUUGUGUAAGAAUGUGAAGCUUGGCACUGCUGCAGCCAUCUUGUUCCAGGAAGGGUAAAACCUGAGGUUAGAAGCCAACAUCCUAAUGAUGGCAGAGAAGACAAAGAGAACCAGAGUCUAAAUGACAUUGUUGAGUUAGAUCACUACACUACCUCUAGUCUUCUUUUUAUGUGUGAUAAUAAAUCUCACUUAUACUUAA
Molecule: long non-coding RNA, 713 nt
Filed under: Homo sapiens (human)
Lineage: Eukaryota; Metazoa; Chordata; Mammalia; Primates; Hominidae
Description: long intergenic non-protein coding RNA 1322
Source: RNAcentral